AUUGAACGCUGGCGGAAUGCUUUACACAUGCAAGUCGAACGGCAGCACGGACUUCGGUCUGGUGGCGAGUGGCGAACGGGUGAGUAAUACAUCGGAACGUGCCCAAUCGUGGGGGAUAACGUAGCGAAAGCUACGCUAAUACCGCAUACGAUCUAAGGAUGAAAGCGGGGGAUCGCAAGACCUCGCGCGAUUGGAGCGGCUGAUGGCAGAUUAGGUGGUUGGUAGGGUAAAGGCCUACCAAGCCGACGCUCUGUAGCUGGUCUGAGAGGAUGAUCAGCAACACUGGGACUGAGAGACGGCCCAGACUCCUACGGGAGGCAGCAGUGGGGAAUUUUGGACAAUGGACGCAAGUCUGAUCCAGCCAUGCCGCGUGCAGGAUGAAGGCCCUCGGGUUGUAAACUGCUUUUGUACAGAACGAAAAGGCUCUGGUUAAUACCUAGGGCUCAUGACGGUACUGUAAGAAUAAGCACCGGCUAACUACGUGCCAGCCGCCGCCGUAA
RNAcentral lists this ribosomal RNA (500 nucleotides) under uncultured bacterium. RNAcentral describes it as "partial 16S ribosomal RNA". It matches the Rfam family "Bacterial small subunit ribosomal RNA", at positions 30 to 523 of the family's 1533-position model. The record is from RNAcentral.